CCGAGUUAGGGUCCUCUGGGCCCGACCUCCCAACCCUUUGUCGUUACCACCUCAGUUGCUUCGGCGGGCCCUGCCUCGAGAGAGGCACGCCGGAGGGGCGUCACACCCCUUCUGGCCAGCUGCCCGUCGACAGCCCCAACCACAAAACUCUGAACCAAACGUGUCGUCUGAGUAAACAAACAAAAUAAAGCAA
RNAcentral lists this unclassified non-coding RNA (193 nucleotides) under uncultured Ascomycota. RNAcentral's name for it is "sequence contains ITS1". Lineage: Eukaryota; Fungi; Ascomycota. The record is from RNAcentral.